GGGAAGGUGCUCCCGAGUGUGACAAAUUUGCAAAGUUUUACCGCUCUCUUUGCCCUGGUGAAUGGGUAUGUAAUUUCAAUGCUCUUUCAGGUCCUAAAAUUGUAAUGUUUGCUAUUAUUAUUGAAGGUAUGGCCCUCUGCAUCCCCUACAUGAUGAAUCAUAUUCGGUUCUUACUUUAGUUUAGUUAAAUUGCCUUUGCUAUUGGAGAAGUUUGCAUUCUAAUUGUCGAUCUUAUAGUGUUCUAAGUGGUGACAAAUCUGGAAGGAGGGAAAACAGAUAUUUAGUUGAAAAGGCCACAAUCAUUUGACACCAUGUGUGAAAUAAAGGAGCCCCACAAUUUGUUGGGCUUAAUGUUUUGCUCAAGUUGAUCUCUGUACUUUAAAUUUCAGAUCAACUCUUUAGCCAUUCAUUGAUACCAAAAUAGUGUUCGUAUUUUUGUAAUGCGUUUUAUUCUAGAAACUGAACCUAAUGGAUAAAUAGUUUUCUCAAUUGGAUUGCCUUGCUUUUUUCAUUUUUGUUGUUUGACUCGCCUUGCUGUUUUGUCUAUAUUUGGGAGAGGUUAGUGCUUCAAAUACUGUUGUGAGAUCAGAAAAGUAUGUGUCGUAUAACAAGUUAUUAAGCAGUUCUAUUAUGCUUAUAGUUGAUAUCAAUUGUUUCUACUCUAGUUUACACAAGAUACGAAUCAAAAUCUUAUUAGAAUUUCUGUUGAGAUGUUUUCAGUGCGUGGACCAUUGCUGUUUUUACAGUUUCUGCUCUUUUUUUAUUUAAGUUUUUGCUGCUGGGAGGAGAGAGAAUAUACCACAAUCUGUGGCGAGUGCUUGUGAAUGUUUUUUUUAAGUGGGUGUGAUUUUGUUUGCCUGCACUUCAGGCACGUGGGCAGCCAGUCUCACUCAACAUUGGAACUUUAAUUAUUCCUCAUUUUAAGGAUUGACGAUUAUACUUUCAAGCGUCCCGUUCUGGUGACCAAGAGAACAUUUAUGAUAUUUUCAAUAUUUGUCAAAAUGGAUAAAGUUCCUUGUUUGGAUGAAGUACUCGAUCUUGAGUAUAGAAUAGAACCUGUGAACAUACACUUAUAGCUCAAGACAUUUACCAAUGUGUGACUUAGUUACUGGUGUACCCACACCUGCAUCUGUUUGUGCUGCUGUUGAGUUUCCUUUUGCUUAUUUGUUUACAUGCUAUAAGGAAUUGUUAUUGUAUUUCAUUCAGUUCAGGUUUUCUAGUUGGCUACUUCUCUCUCGUAAGUCUUGUAUUCCUUAGCAGAGCUAAAGUUAACAGUGUUCUUGUUGUACUGUUUGUAUGUAUCAGGUUGAGAGAUGGAACGAACAAAGGGAGAAUGGAACUUUUCCAGGUCCCCUGUAGAUGGUGUUGGCUUAAAAAACAAGCGUUGGUCUGUGCGUUUCUGUAAUAUCCAAGUUUUCCUCCAAUAGAUGAGUUUCUACAUUGAGAGUUGAACUCCAAGGGAAUGCCCUAUUUUAAAACAAUGAAUGAAUAAGAAAUAAAACAAUGAAUGAAUAAGAAAUUUUGGCUUAUUUCAGAAUACAGCAAAACUGUAGCUCAUAAAAUGAAGUUUUUGUUCAUCACUAAAUCAUAGUUUCAUUUCUCAUAAUUUUUUUGUGCAUGAGCUGUUGUAAAACUGUUGCCAAAAGC
RNAcentral lists this long non-coding RNA (1647 nucleotides) under Malus domestica (apple). RNAcentral describes it as "long non-coding RNA (MDOM_LNC015743)". The record is from RNAcentral. Lineage: Eukaryota; Viridiplantae; Streptophyta; Magnoliopsida; Rosales; Rosaceae.